RNAcentral lists this ribosomal RNA (426 nucleotides) under Williopsis maclurae. RNAcentral's name for it is "LSU rRNA". It matches the Rfam family "Eukaryotic large subunit ribosomal RNA", at positions 119 to 545 of the family's 3401-position model. Lineage: Eukaryota; Fungi; Ascomycota; Saccharomycetes; Phaffomycetales; Wickerhamomycetaceae. The record is from RNAcentral.
CAUUGUGUGUUUUUACACCCGAGUUGUAAUUUGAAGAAGGAUUUCUGGCACAGGCCCCCCGUCUAUGUUCCUUGGAACAGGACGUCACAGAGGGUGAGAAUCCCGUCUGGCGGGGAGGGACCAGUGGCAUUGUAGAUUUCCUUCGACGAGUCGAGUUGUUUGGGAAUGCAGCUCUAAGUGGGUGGUAAAUUCCAUCUAAAGCUAAAUAUUGGCGAGAGACCGAUAGCGAACAAGUACAGUGAUGGAAAGAUGAAAAGAACUUUGAAAAGAGAGUGAAAAAGUACGUGAAAUUGUUGAAAGGGAAGGAUAUUGGAUCAGACUUGGUGUUGGACGGUACCUCGCCACUUGUUGGCGGGAUCACCCGUUCCUCACUGGGCCAGCAUCGGUUUUUGCGGCGGGAUAAUUGCUCAGGGAACGUGGCUCUGC